AUGAUCAAGGCAGGGAUUGUGAUACCUAGUAUGAGCCCGUAUGCAUCGCCAGUACUUCUGGUUAAGAAAAAAGACGGUAGCUGGCGUUUCUGCGUGGAUUACCGCGAACUCAACGCCAUCACUGUGAAGAACAAAUUCCCUCUUGCUAUGGUUGACGAAUUACUCGAUGAACUGGCAGGAUCAAAAAAUUUCUCCAAGCUGGACCUCAGGGCAGGUUAUCACAAAAUCCGUAUGCAUGAACCGGAUGAGGAGAAGACUGCAUUCAAGACACAUUCGGGACACUUCCAAUUCCGUGUUAUGCCAUUUGGCGCGACCAAUGGACCACCAACAUUUCAGUGCUUAAUGAACAGCAUUUUUGCUCCAGCUAAUCGCAAGUAUGUUAUCACAUUUUUGGACGACAUUCUAGUUUUCAAUACCACUUGGGAGGAACAUUUGGAGCAUCUCCGCUCGGUACUGCAGACCUGCGCGAGCAUCAGUUGUUUGUGA
Molecule: ribosomal RNA, 486 nt
Filed under: Triticum aestivum (bread wheat)
Lineage: Eukaryota; Viridiplantae; Streptophyta; Magnoliopsida; Poales; Poaceae
Description: partial small subunit ribosomal RNA
Source: RNAcentral